This 292-nucleotide ribosomal RNA is filed under the name uncultured bacterium. Its description in RNAcentral is "partial 16S ribosomal RNA". It matches the Rfam family "Bacterial small subunit ribosomal RNA", at positions 505 to 796 of the family's 1533-position model. The record is from RNAcentral.
GUGUCAGCAGCCGCGGUAAUACGUAGGGUGCAAGCGUUAAUCGGAAUUACUGGGCGUAAAGCGUGCGCAGGCGGUCUUGUAAGACAGGUGUGAAAUCCCCGGGCUUAACCUGGGAACUGCACUUGUGACUGCAAGGCUGGAGUACGGCAGAGGGGGAUGGAAUUCCGCGUGUAGCAGUGAAAUGCGUAGAUAUGCGGAGGAACACCGAUGGCGAAGGCAAUCCCCUGGGCCUGUACUGACGCUCAUGCACGAAAGCGUGGGGAGCAAACAGGAUUAGAUACCCUAGUAGUCC